GACAAACACAAGGGAAACCAAAGCAGAGACAACGAGUCCACAUCAUAGAGUAAAAGAAACAGUCAUUUGAACUUUGGGAGGAGUGGAAGCUGCUCAGAAAAUGAGGCAAGGCUCUGUUUAUGGGAUGAUCCAUCAGGCUGUCUCAGCGUCUCCAUCCAGCCCUUCAGCAGCCAGAGGCUUUCCAGGUAUCCAAGGAUACACCUGACUGAGAGGGGAGCAAGAACAAGAUGCUGCAAGAUGCUCAAAUACAGAUUGGUCUUCACUGUCACUAAUUUCCCAAUACCUGUAGCCCAAAGGAAUCACAAGGCUCACUACAGGAGAAGAUUUCUGGGGAAAAUCAGGAGACUUGAGACCUAUUUGGGUUACACCAGUUUCCAAAGAUGUUCAGAUCAGCUGAGGUACUGUUUGACUUGACCUGAGCCCAGCCACAUUAACUCUUUGUUUAUUUUGUGGCAGAGAGGGCCGACUGAAGGUAAGGUAUGAAGCUGGUGACUGACCUGAGAACCACUGUGCUAAGGUGUCAACUAAACAAUAAACGCACUUUCGUGGAAACCAAUCAUGUAGUCAAACAGUUAUUUAUUCAGAAAAUAAGGGGCUUCUCUUAAGCAUUGAGCUACUCAGAUCUCAUGUAACCCUAGGCUUCAUCUUUUGGGUUUGCCUUAAUUCGAUCUCAUUCUUUUGACCUUCUAUUCCCCAGGCCUCCUGCUUGUGAUUG
Molecule: non-coding RNA, 715 nt
Organism: Myodes glareolus (Bank vole)
Lineage: Eukaryota; Metazoa; Chordata; Mammalia; Rodentia; Cricetidae
Source: RefSeq, a predicted model, not a curated record